CACAGGUGUUGCAUGGCUGCCGAUCAGAUCGUGGUGCCGAACUGUUAUUUUCGUAUUAAAAUAUCACGAUCAACUCCCUUACCCAAAGGUUUAUAAUUUAUAAUUAUAAAUAUUGUGGACUGUUGUGCGUUUAUAGACGUACAAAGGUAGAUAGGUCGACGACAAGUCCUCAUGGCCCAGAUGAAAUAGGCUAUACGUGUGUUACAAUGAACGUCUCAAUAAGUUGCAAACAUAUAUGUAUAAUUUUAUUAUAUAGUAUAAAUGGGAGCGAUUCUUUUAAAAACGUUCUUGUUCAGACUAUUCUCUGAAACUCGGGAAUAUAAAGGCGGAAUCACCAGUAAUCGCGGAUCAGCACGCCGCGGUGAAACACAAAAACUUACCCGGGGCACUCACCGCCCGUCACGUUCUGAAAGGAUGCUAGGCUGGAAAAUAUGCAUGCGAUAAAUUGAAUGUAGAUAUAAAUAUAUCUCGAAUGAUAUAAUAGAUUAUUGAUUUUUUGGUAUGAAAUAUUUAAGGUCUGGUAACCAAUUGGAAUAAAGUCGUAACAUGGUACGACUACCGGAAGGUGGUCGUGGAACG
This is a ribosomal RNA of 579 nucleotides. It matches the Rfam family "Bacterial small subunit ribosomal RNA", at positions 1033 to 1524 of the family's 1533-position model.